UGCACAGACUGCUCACCACAAGAGACUACUUCUGAGCAUCCUUCUCCUUCAAGGUCUGCUCUCACAGGAACCGGAGUCAGACCUACUAACACAGUGCCACAGAGCCAACACGAACAAGGACAGGAAGUGACAUCAAUGGAGCAGAACGACAAGGGCACAUUGGAAACUGAGAAACAGUAAAUGAAUGGUCAAACAGAAGAAGCACCUCAAGAGACGACCACACCUGAAGAGCCGGCUAAUAUAAGUGAGAAUAAUUCAGAUAAAAAUGAUCAAGAAAUAAGUGAGAACAAUGCAGAAAAGAACGAAGAAGAAAUAAGUGUGAACAAUUGAGAUCAGAAUGAAGAGGAAAAUGCGAAGGAAGAAGAGGAUGAAUCGGCUGAUGGUUUCCAGGCUUCGGUCGAGAUGUCAAUCCGGCAAUUUGAGAAGGACGAAAACAACCGCCCUAUUUGCAGAUAGCGGACUCCGCCGUGAAUGAGCUUGGUGCUUCUGCUGCUGGUGCCUGAUGAAAAAUCGCUCCGUUCUACCAGG
Long non-coding RNA from Sinocyclocheilus anshuiensis, 528 nucleotides. RefSeq lists it as uncharacterized. The transcript has 3 exons. The record is from RefSeq and is a predicted model, not a curated record. NCBI's taxonomy places the organism in Eukaryota, Metazoa, Chordata, Actinopteri, Cypriniformes, Cyprinidae.